AGAGUUUGAUCCUGGCUCAGGAUGAACGCUGGCGGCGUGCUUAACACAUGCAAGUCGAACGAAGCGCGCGGAAGGAAGGCCUUCGGGCCGGAGAGCCGCGGGACUGAGUGGCGGACGGGUGAGUAACGCGUGGGCAACCUGCCCCGUACAGGGGGAUAACAGCCGGAAACGGCUGCUAAUACCGCAUAAGCGCACAGCGCCGCAUGGCGCGGUGUGAAAAGCUCCGGCGGUACGGGAGGGGCCCGCGUCUGAUUAGGCAGUUGGCGGGGCAGCGGCCCACCAAACCGACGAUCAGUAGCCGGCCUGAGAGGGCGGCCGGCCACAUUGGGACUGAGACACGGCCCAAACUCCUGCGGGAGGCAGCAGUGGGGAAUAUUGCACAAUGGGGGAAACCCUGAUGCAGCGACGCCGCGUGAGCGAAGAAGUAUUUCGGUAUGUAAAGCUCUAUCAGCAGGGAAGAAAAAUGACGGUACCUGAGUAAGAAGCACCGGCUAAAUACGUG
RNAcentral lists this ribosomal RNA (502 nucleotides) under uncultured Lachnospiraceae bacterium. RNAcentral describes it as "bacterial SSU rRNA". It matches the Rfam family "Bacterial small subunit ribosomal RNA", at positions 8 to 507 of the family's 1533-position model. The record is from RNAcentral. Lineage: Bacteria; Bacillati; Bacillota; Clostridia; Lachnospirales; Lachnospiraceae.